GAAGUAUUGGUGUUAGUUCUUCUUUAAAGCUGAUGAAUACACAUCACCUGUGUAUCCAUCUGGUCCUGGGCUUUUCUUGUUUGGUAGGCUUCUGAUAGCAUCCUUAUUUUCUUGCUUGAAAUUGAUCUGUUUAAGUUGUGUAUGUCAUCCUGAUUCAAUUUAGGCAAAUUCAAUUUGGGCCUCUAGAAAUUUGUUGAUGCCUUCAAUAUUUUCUAUUUUAUUAGAGUACAAAGUUUCAAAAUAAUUUCUAAUUAUCUUCUGUAUUUCUAUAGUGUCCGUCAUAGUAUUUCCUUUUUCAAUCAUGGAUGUUAGUAAUUUAAAUUUUCUCUUUCCUUCUCUUUGUUAGCAUGGCUAAUGGUUUAUCAAUUUUAUUUAUUUUUUCAAAGUACCAGUUUUGUGUUUAAUCAACUUUUUUCAUUUGUUUCUUUUGUCAAUUUCAUCGAUUUCAACUCUGAUUUUAAUUAUUUCCUGCCUUCUACUGCUUUUUGUGUUGAUUUGUUUUUCUUUUUAUUUGAGAUGUAAUGUUAGGUCAUUUAUUUGUUGACUUUUUCUUCUUUGAAGGAAUGAACUCCAUUGUGGGAGACCAAUCUCAUGUUGGAUGAUGUGGCGGUCAGCCACCCAUGCUGCUAGACUGUCCUGCUCUUCUAGGGUUCGAGUAACUGUGUCUUGCUACAGCCCCAUGGGUGGAGCUAUGCUCACCUGUUCCUAUGUAAUAUAACCCCUUGCCCUGUUAGGAUAGAAUGUUCCAUGGAAGUGCCUUGUGUAUGUCCCCUUCUCUUACUAUGCCCUUGGGUGUGGCCUACCCAGGUGUCAGUCAACCUGCUGACAGUGGACAUCAUGAAGAUAGACUCAGCCCCUGAAACCUGACCCCUUGCCUCAUUUGAAUAGCUUCUCCUCAAUAAAAGGGGUCAGCGCGUGCUCUCGCUCUCUCUCUUCCUGUGGACCUUUAAGGUUAGAGGAGCCAUCACAGCGACUCCAAAGAAAAAGGUAUUUGUGCCUCUUGUGUGGUUAUUUUGCGCAACCCAGUCAGCCCAGUUAUACCUGAAGUGACCCCUGAGCCUUUUAGUUGCGAGAACAGAAACCUGACAAUGAACUUUCCUCUUACAACUGCCUUCAUAGUGUCCCAGCGAUUUCGAUAUAUUGUAUCGGUGUUCUCAUUUACCCCUAAGAAUUUUUUAAUCUCCUCCUUAAUAUCGUUCGUAACCACUUGUUCAUUCAGUAGCAUAUAAUUUAGUCUCCAGGUUUUGGAGUAUCUUUUAUUUUAGAUUGAUUUCUAAUUUCAUUCCAUUGUGGUCUAAUAGAAUGCAGGGUAGUAUCUCUACUUUUUUGUAUUUACUAAGAGUUGCUUUGUGGCAUAAUAUAUGGUCUGUUUUAGAGAAGGAUCUAUGUGCUGCUGGUAAGAAAGUGUAUUCUCUCAUUGAUGGAUAAUAUACUCUAUGUAUGUCAAUUAAGUCUAAGUUAUUGACUAUAUUAUUGAAUUCUUUAGUUUCUUUGUUCAGCUUUUGUUUUGAAGAUCUAUCCAGUGGUGAAAGAGGUGUGUUAAAGUCACCCAGAAUUAUUGUGUAGUGGUCUAUUUGACUCUUGAACUUGAGAAGAGUUUUUUUGAUGAACUUAGAUGCUCCAUUGUCUGGGGCAUAUAUAUUUAUAACUGUUAUAUCUUGUUGAUGGUUGGUUCCCUUGAGCAGUAUAAAAUGUGCAUCUUUAUCCCUUUUGAUUAACUUUGGGUUGAAGGCUACUUUAUUUGAUACGAGGGUGGAAACACUGCUUGCUUACGUAGGCCAUGUGAAUGGUAGUGCUGCGUCCCUCUCCUGACUCAGGCAAAAGCAAGGCCCUGCUGAGGUGGAUGGUGCAAGGUGUCCAUCCUCUGGAGGAGCGCAGCAUGUUUCUGGGAAUGGGAUGGUUUGUUUUUGCACUUCUGUUCAUAAGUAUAAUUGUAACGUCUCAUAGACCAUUAAGCAUAAAGGAAAAAAACAUGAUUUUCCCAAUUGAUGCAAUGAUUCAGCUGUGGAACAUAAGUUGUUAAUGUUUAAUAAAAAAUAAAAAUAAAAAAAAAAAAAACCUGUAGGAAAAACAGUCAAGGAAGUUUUUGAGAAAUUAAAUUAAAAUUUAGAGAAGAAAAAUUAAUAUUAAGAAGACAGAUUAGUGCUUGGUACCGGGUAACUUGUUCUUGUUCCUGUGCACAAUGGUUUGAUGCUCUUACUCUUGUUUUAUUAAAAUUAGUAGCCUCUCUUUUCAAGUUAACCACUUGCCAUAACUUCGGUGCCGGUUCUAGUCAGUAAGUCAAGAAAGAAUAGUCAAGGUAUAGGUCAAUAGUCUGGGACAUUUCUAACUAUUAUUAAAAGCUAACUAAGUGGAAGCAGCUCAAAGCAAAACACGAACUGAAAGUAAAAAUGCUUGCUUAUACAUAAGCCAAGAUACAUUUUUUUUAACUAAUUGUAGAUAUGUAAAAUUUUGUUUCCUUGAAUAAAGUUUCCUGUUUUGUAACCACAAAAUACCGUGAGCCUGCCAAAAUGAAAAGUAUAUAUGUUUAACUUCACAAGUAAAGAAUCAGAUUCAGCACCUUCACUUUUGUGUCUGUGUUGUUUCUCUGCCGCCUUUCGGGGACCCCUCACCAUUCAUUGGUCUCCUGAGACCCCCUGCCGGAGCUGGACUCCAACAGAUAUGUUUUAUCCCAACCUUUCACCUUCAAUCUGUGGGCAUCUCUUCCUAUGAGAUGAGUUUCUUGAAGUCAGCAUAUUGUUGGAUCUUUUUUAAUCCAAUCUACCGGUCUAUGUCUUUUGGGUUUUUAUUUUAUUUUUUACAUGUACUUUCUUUUCUUUUCUUUGCAUUACAAUUCUUAUUACACAUAUAUACCGCAGUUUUUCAUAUCUCUGUGUAUAAAAUAUGUUGAUACCCAAUUCGGUUUUCAUACAUGUACUUUGGAUAAUGAUGUCCAUCACAUUUCACCAUCCCUGCUAGUCCCCUGCCCCCUCCCUUUCCCUCCCACCCCUCUGCCCUAUCUAGAAUUCAUCUAAUCCUCCCAUGCUCCCCCUCCCUACCCCACUAUGAGUCAGCCUCCUUAUAUCAGAGAAACAUUCAGCAUUUUUGGGGGGUGGAUUGGCUAACUUCACUAGCGUUAUCUUCUCCAAUGCCAUCCAUUUACCUGCAAAUGCCAUGAUUUUAUUCUCUUCAGUCUGUCUUUUGAUUGAUGAGUUUAGGCCAUUAACAUUCAGGGUUAUUGUUGAGACAUGAUAUGUAUUACCAGUCAUUUUUGUUUAUUUCUGGUAAUUAGCUUGACUUGGUUUCUCAUUUGAUUGGCUUUUCUUUUACUAUAGUUCUUCCCUUUGCAGAUUUUCAUUGUUGUUUUUCAUUUCCUGUCGUGGCGUAUUUUGCCAAGAAUGUUC
RNAcentral lists this long non-coding RNA (3383 nucleotides) under Marmota monax (woodchuck). Lineage: Eukaryota; Metazoa; Chordata; Mammalia; Rodentia; Sciuridae. The record is from RNAcentral.